GCUUUUAAAAGAUAAUAGUUAAUCCAUUGGUCUUAGGCACCAAAUACUCGUGAUGCAAGUCCACGUAAAAGCU
This 73-nucleotide transfer RNA is filed under the name Microcaecilia sp. PZ-2009. RNAcentral's name for it is "tRNA-Leu". It matches the Rfam family "tRNA". Rfam says of the family: Transfer RNA (tRNA) molecules are approximately 80 nucleotides in length. Their secondary structure includes four short double-helical elements and three loops (D, anti-codon, and T loops). Further hydrogen bonds mediate the characteristic L-shaped molecular structure. tRNAs have two regions of fundamental functional importance: the anti-codon, which is responsible for specific mRNA codon recognition, and the 3' end, to which the tRNAs corresponding amino acid is attached (by aminoacyl-tRNA synthetases). tRNAs cope with the degeneracy of the genetic code in two manners: having more than one tRNA (with a specific anti-codon) for a particular amino acid; and 'wobble' base-pairing, i.e. permitting non-standard base-pairing at the 3rd anti-codon position. Lineage: Eukaryota; Metazoa; Chordata; Amphibia; Gymnophiona; Siphonopidae. The record is from RNAcentral.